Molecule: long non-coding RNA, 1289 nt
Organism: Passer domesticus (house sparrow)
Lineage: Eukaryota; Metazoa; Chordata; Aves; Passeriformes; Passeridae
Exons: 7
Source: RefSeq, a predicted model, not a curated record
GGCUUUGUGCCCUGAGCCCUGCCAGAGAGCACGGCAGGCUCUGCACAGCAAGGGGACUUUGGGCCUGGAUUUGGGGUCCCUCUGUGUCCUACACCUGGCUGUUCUGAACACCCCUUCCUGGAUUGUUGGUGCACACCUGAUGGAGGAACAGCUUUUUGGUAGGAAGAGGCUGCGUGGGGAAAAUUCAUCACAGUGUGGAGAAGGAGAGGGUUUCACCAGCAGAUGUGUUUUUGGGAAAGUCUGCCCCUGUGGGUGCUGCCUGAUGGGCGAGGAGCUCUGCUUUGGAAGCAGAAUGUGAAGGUAAACUAAGGCCUCUCAGACUUGAAGAAGGUACGAAGCAUGCACACGAAGUGGACAGCACUGAUUUAUUGAGGAGAAAGAGGAAGAAUGUUGCAAUGCAUCAAGAUGAGGUUUCAGAUGCCUGAGGCUCUGCAGGAACCACGAUAACAGUAAAAAACAGCCUAGCAGAGACGAUCAUCUCUGCAGACUCCACUGGCACCAAAAAUUAAAAAUCAGCUCCAAACAAGGAAGAAAAAGCCUAGCAACAAACAAAAAACCAAACAACUGCUGCAAAGAAAUAAAACUUCUUCCUGUGAAAUGCUUCUUGGCCGUGAAGGGCUUCUGCAGUGAGAAAAAAGCUCCUCCAUGAAGAAGGGUGCAGAGCCUGCUUUGCUCAGAGCCUUUUCCCUCAUCAUCUGAACAAAAGGACAGGGAGGGAAUGUUGGAGGAGAAGAGCUGGAAAGGCGUCGACGAAGCAACUUUUGACAGGGGGUGUGUGGCUCCCCCCAGGACCGGCGAUGGGGAGAGAUGCUGCCGCCUCCCUCUCCUGCUGGGCUCGGGGCUGCCCGGCGUGUCCCUGCUCUCUCUGGUGCUGAGCCUCCUGCUGUACUUUCGGACCUCUGAUUUGCAGUCCCGGGUGUCCCACUUGGAAGCGGACAGACCCACACAGCUCCCUGCCUGGCUCUCAGCAGACCAAAUGGAGACAGCUAUUUUGGGAAGAGUUGACCAACUGCUCAAUGAGAAAUUGAAGUUCCACUUGCCAAGACAUCGAGAAGUUCGAGACACGUACCAGCGAUGCAACUGCCCGGCAGGUAGGGAUCUGGGACAGCUGGCACUGUGGAAAGUGACAAAAACUUUUCUGUCUACAUCUCAUUGAAGGAUUUUUUAAUGCAGUCUCCUGGGUGAAUGCAAAGUUAUGUGUGCUUGCAUAACAGUUUGCUCAAAUACAGGAAAUUGAUAUGGGGGUGUGGGCAACAAGUCUGGUACGUACAUAGGUGCCAACAUGUGAC